Molecule: long non-coding RNA, 313 nt
Filed under: Androctonus crassicauda
Lineage: Eukaryota; Metazoa; Arthropoda; Arachnida; Scorpiones; Buthidae
Source: RNAcentral
AUCGAGACCGUUUUAGACGGGUGAAGGCGUAUUAAUUUGUUUAAAUUGCUUCAAGAUGGCUAGUGAGGCGGACUCCGGGACGAGAGCAGAGACAGCUUCCGGAGGAUCAUUCUCCUCGUUUACGGGAAUGAUUCCUACCUUCGCGGGAGAACCGACGCAACGCGUCACCGAUUUCUUUGAUGUGAUUGAAGAGAUAGCUACUCUGGCAGCAUGGACAGAGCGACAAAAAUUGGGAGUCGCCAAAUGCAAAUUAACAGGCAUCGCGAAAGAGUAUGCGUGGCGUGAUUUUAAGAUGAAAGAUAUUCAGGACUAU